AACGAACGCUGGCGGCAGGCUUAACACAUGCAAGUCGAACGCAUGCCUUCGGGCAUGAGUGGCAGACGGGUGAGUAACGCGUGGGAACCUACCCCUUGGUACGGGAUAGCUCCGGGAAACUGGAGAUAAUACCGUAUGUGUCCUGAGGGACAAAGAUUCAUCGCCAAGGGAUGGGCCCGCGUCGGAUUAGCUAGUUGGUGGGGUAACGGCCUACCAAGGCGACGAUCCGUAGCUGGUCUAAGAGGAUGAUCAGCCACAUUGGGACUGAGACACGGCCCAAACUCCUACGGGAGGCAGCAGUGGGGAAUAUUGGACAAUGGGCGCAAGCCUGAUCCAACCAUGCCGCGUGAGUGAUGAAGGCCCUAGGGUUGUAAAGCUCUUUCACCGGUGACGAUAAUGACGGUAACCGGAGAAGAAGCCCCGGCUAACUUCGUG
This 435-nucleotide ribosomal RNA is filed under the name uncultured bacterium. Its description in RNAcentral is "partial 16S ribosomal RNA". It matches the Rfam family "Bacterial small subunit ribosomal RNA", at positions 29 to 507 of the family's 1533-position model. The record is from RNAcentral.